RNAcentral lists this ribosomal RNA (1432 nucleotides) under uncultured bacterium. RNAcentral's name for it is "16S ribosomal RNA". It matches the Rfam family "Bacterial small subunit ribosomal RNA". The record is from RNAcentral.
UUAACACAUGCAAGUCGAGGGGCAGCAUGGUCUUUUCUUGCUAAGGCCGAUGGCGACCGGCGCACGGGUGAGUAACACGUAUCCAACCUGCCGUCUACUCUUGGACAGCCUUCUGAAAGGAAGAUUAAUACAAGAUGGCAUCAUGAGUCCGCAUGUUCACAUGAUUAAAGGUAUUCCGGUAGACGAUGGGGAUGCGUUCCAUUAGAUAGUAGGCGGGGUAACGGCCCACCUAGUCUUCGAUGGAUAGGGGUUCUGAGAGGAAGGUCCCCCACAUUGGAACUGAGACACGGACCAAACUCCUACGGGAGGCAGCAGUGAGGAAUAUUGGUCAAUGGGCGAGAGCCUGAACCAGCCAAGUACCGUGAAGGAUGACUGCCCUAUGGGUUGUAAACUUCUUUUAUAAAAGAAUAAAGUCGGGUAUGGAUACCCGUUUGCAUGUACUUUAUGAAUAAGGAUCGGCUAACUCCGUGCCAGCAGCCGCGGUAAUACGGAGGAUCCGAGCGUUAUCCGGAUUUAUUGGGUUUAAAGGGAGCGUAGAUGGAUGUUUAAGUCAGUUGUGAAACUUUGCGGCUCAACCGUAAAAUUGCAGUUGAUACUGGAUAUCUUGAGUGCAGUUGAGGCAGGCGGAAUUCGUGGUGUAGCGGUGAAAUGCUUAGAUAUCACGAAGAACUCCGAUUGCGAAGGCAGCCUGCUAAGCUGCAACUGACAUUGAGGCUCGAAAGUGUGGGUAUCAAACAGGAUUAGAUACCCUGGUAGUCCACACGGUAAACGAUGAAUACUCGCUGUUUGCGAUAUACUGCAAGCGGCCAAGCGAAAGCGUUAAGUAUUCCACCUGGGGAGUACGCCGGCAACGGUGAAACUCAAAGGAAUUGACGGGGGCCCGCACAAGCGGAGGAACAUGUGGUUUAAUUCGAUGAUACGCGAGGAACCUUACCCGGGCUUAAAUUGCAGAUGAAUUACGGUGAAAGCCGUAAGCCGCAAGGCAUCUGUGAAGGUGCUGCAUGGUUGUCGUCAGCUCGUGCCGUGAGGUGUCGGCUUAAGUGCCAUAACGAGCGCAACCCUUGUUGUCAGUUACUAACAGGUUCCGCUGAGGACUCUGACAAGACUGCCAUCGUAAGAUGUGAGGAAGGUGGGGAUGACGUCAAAUCAGCACGGCCCUUACGUCCGGGGCUACACACGUGUUACAAUGGGGGGUACAGAGGGCCGCUACCACGCGAGUGGAUGCCAAUCCCCAAAACCUCUCUCAGUUCGGACUGGAGUCUGCAACCCGACUCCACGAAGCUGGAUUCGCUAGUAAUCGCGCAUCAGCCACGGCGCGGUGAAUACGUUCCCGGGCCUUGUACACACCGCCCGUCAAGCCAUGGGAGCCGGGGGUACCUGAAGUGCGUAACCGCGAGGAGCGCCCUAGGGUAAAACUGGUGACUGGGGCUAA